Molecule: ribosomal RNA, 472 nt
Filed under: uncultured bacterium
Lineage: Bacteria
Description: bacterial SSU rRNA
Rfam family: Bacterial small subunit ribosomal RNA
Source: RNAcentral
CGGCAUGCCUUACACAUGCAAGUCGAACGGCAGCACGGGAGCAAUCCUGGUGGCGAGUGGCGAACGGGUGAGUAAUAUAUCGGAACGUGCCCAGUCGUGGGGGAUAACGUAGCGAAAGCUACGCUAAUACCGCAUACGAUCUAUGGAUGAAAGCGGGGGAUCGCAAGACCUCGCGCGAUUGGAGCGGCCGAUAUCAGAUUAGGUAGUUGGUGAGGUAAAGGCUCACCAAGCCGACGAUCUGUAGCUGGUCUGAGAGGACGACCAGCCACACUGGAACUGAGACACGGUCCAGACUCCUACGGGAGGCAGCAGUGGGGAAUUUUGGACAAUGGACGCAAGUCUGAUCCAGCCAUUCCGCGUGCAGGAUGAAGGCCCUCGGGUUGUAAACUGCUUUUGUACGGAACGAAAAGGUUUCUCUUAAUACGAGGAGCUCAUGACGGUACCGUAAGAAUAAGCACCGGCUAACUACGUG